This 398-nucleotide ribosomal RNA is filed under the name uncultured eukaryote. Its description in RNAcentral is "SSU rRNA". It matches the Rfam family "Eukaryotic small subunit ribosomal RNA", at positions 587 to 972 of the family's 1831-position model. The record is from RNAcentral.
AGCUCCAAUAGCGUAUAUUAAAGUUGUUGCAGUUAAAACGCUCGUAGUUGAACUUCUGUACAAAUUUACGGCUUCAGCUUCUCUCGUAGUUGUUGUCAAGCCUGUAUUUUUGUGCAUCCUCAUGAUGUUUACGUACUUUACCUCGUGUACUGUGCGAUCAAAUAAAUGUCAUGACGUUUACUUUGAGAAAAUUAGAGUGUUUCAAGCAGGUUAUUUCUGCCUUGAAUACUUCAGCAUGGAAUAAUAAGAUAAGACUUUAGUUUUAUGUUAUUGGUUCAAAAGCUAAAGUAAUGAUUAAUAGGGACAGUUGGGGGCAUUUGUACUUACCUGUCAGAGGUGAAAUUCUAUGAUUAGGGAAGGACAAACAACUGCGAAAGCAUUUGCCAAAGAUGUUCUCA